AUGCGAAGCAAACAGGCCCAAGGCCGGGAGCAAGGACGGCGGGCAGCGACGCUGAGCCAUGGCCCAGCCAGAGCUCUCCGGCAGGAAAUCCGGCAGCAGAGGCAACACCCAUGGGUGCUGGCUGGCUGCGGCCACGGAGGGAUCGUCACCACCUUCGCUGUGAUGCAUCCCAGGGGCAGGGAUGCACGCCCGGGGAUGCUGCAGCCGUGGGAUCUUCCCCUAUUUUUGUCACCCUUUUCCCCCCCACUGCCACCGCUGGGCUGUCCCCACACAGCUCAGGGGGGCCAUGAGGGCCCUGCUGGCUGCUCGCCCACCAGUGCCAGGGCUCCCGGGGGCCCUGAGCCUUCUACCCACAGCCGUGGGAGGUGUGAGAGCAAGAGGUGCAAGGAGAGACGGCCAGCAGCAUCUCCCACCACCCACAGCCAAGGGAAAGGGCGUGUGGCUAAUUGCAAGAGUGAAAUGUUUCAGCAAAAAUAUUUCCUUCCCACCAAAAUAGCUCUUUUUUUUUUUUUUUCCCUUCUCCCCAGUGUGGUUAUUUUUUUCUGGUUUCAACAAGCAAACUGGAAACCAAAAGCCUUGCCGCCCACACUGGGGACCGCAGCGGCUCGCCUGCCCCGCGCGUGCCUCGGCUCCCUCGGCGCCGGCAGCCUCGCUGCACCCAAACCGCAGCCCCAGCAGCUUUUGGUGAUGCUUCAUGGUGCAGGUGAGACCAGCCCACCACAGCUCCCACAGCCGAAGAGCACAAACAAGUUACUCGAGCAUGUUGGAAAGCUGCAGCCACCACCACCCCUCCUGCCCGGGGCUGUUUUUCUUCAUUCGAAUCCCACGGUUAGAAGGGCACGGUCCGUGCUGGGAUUUUGUAAGCGCCUAGGGCUGGGGACGGGGCUGGCCGCAGCCCACGACACGAUCACCAGCGGGGACUCCCUCUGCAAAUGGUGCAAAACCACGGGAGGCUGGAGCAGGGCUGGUGGGUUCAGUCCCACCUCGCAGCGUCACGAGUGCAAGGGGCGUAAAGCGCCACUGCCGCCUCCUGCCACUGUCCCCAGCCAUUUCGCCACAGCCAUGAACCCGACUGCGGGAAGGAAACCUCCCUGUGAAGGCACGCAUAGCCCUGGGGACCCAGCACGCUGGUCUGGUGCUGGGGCAGGAGCCAGCGAGCCCCUGGGCCAUCUGUCACCGAAACGAAGUCCCCAAACACCCACUGCCAGCAGAGCUUUGACCAGGAAAAGCGGAGAAUUUCAAGCUGUGCAAAUGGUUUCGCUGUCCUCUCUGCUUUCACGCGGAAGGGACUCGGGAAGGGCAGAUCCCACGGCGAUGGGGGGUUUGGGACAGGCUGUCUGGCUGCGCCCCAGCCUGUCCCCUUCGGGGGCUGGCACUGGAGGUGCUCGGUGCACUUGGAGGGCGUCUGCACCGCGAGUCCUGGGGCCGUGCGUCGGCGCUGGGCUGAGCCGCGGUGCCCUUGGGUAUCAGACACGGCUCCGUGCUCCAGACGGCGGCCAGGGAGGCAAACGCCAGCCCUCGUUGGCGUGCCUGUGA
RNAcentral lists this long non-coding RNA (1536 nucleotides) under Anser cygnoides (Swan goose). Its description in RNAcentral is "lncRNA (ENSACDG00005012834.1)". The record is from RNAcentral. Lineage: Eukaryota; Metazoa; Chordata; Aves; Anseriformes; Anatidae.